CAGCAGCCGCGGUAAUACCGAGGGUGCAAGCGUUAAUCGGAAUUACUGGGCGUAAAGCGCGCGUAGGUGGUUUGUUAAGUUGGAUGUGAAAUCCCCGGGCUCAACCUGGGAACUGCAUCCAAAACUGGCAAGCUAGAGUAUGGUAGAGGGUGGUGGAAUUUCCUGUGUAGCGGUGAAAUGCGUAGAUAUAGGAAGGAACACCAGUGGCGAAGGCGACCACCUGGACUGAUACUGACACUGAGGUGCGAAAGCGUGGGGAGCAAACAGGAUUAGAUACCCCUGUAGUCCCUGUCUCUUAUAC
RNAcentral lists this ribosomal RNA (301 nucleotides) under uncultured bacterium. Its description in RNAcentral is "partial 16S ribosomal RNA". It matches the Rfam family "Bacterial small subunit ribosomal RNA", at positions 509 to 807 of the family's 1533-position model. The record is from RNAcentral.